GUUCAUAUCCACUGGCCAAAACAUAGUUAUCUUGAUAAGCUAUACUAGGAAGAGGAUUGGAAAUACAUUCAGUCUUCUGGAAGGCCACGUGUCCAGAGCAGCUUUACAGACGGUGCAAACACUGGGAACAACUAGCAUGUCCAGCACAGUAACCAGGAAGCCAUCUAGUUUAGCCAGUUCUCUCUCUGCAGAGUGAACCAGCUCAGCAAGGGUCCCUCAGAAAAGAUGCAUGAAUGGAGCCUUCACUGAAGCCCCAAUAGCUGGCCUCCUUUCCACACAAAGAUCUUCUCCAGGUCCCGCAGUUCUCAUACUUUGGCUCUCACCGAGUCACUCUAUCCCUCUGAAAACAUCUAUACUGAAUACUUAAAUUCACAUUACUGAAGGACAGCAUUGCCUGAAAAAGCUCCUUUGGACUUUAUGAAUGUAAAUAACUUACAUAAAGGGACAUACUGAAAAUUUAAUGUGAUUUCUCAUGUAUUAAUCACUUGAUAUUCUGAGUGUUCUGUAAAAAUUACCUCAUUUAACCCUUAAGCUGAUUAUAAUGUAUGGAUGGUUUUCACCCCUUUUCUAGAUGGAAAAGUUUUGAAGUAAAAAGAGGACAAGGAACUUAACGUGGCUCAUAUACACCAAAAAGCUGAGAAGAGAGAUCAUACCACACAGCCCGACUGUGCGCUCUUCUGCUCAGGAGUGGCCCAUUUGUCCCUGUAUUGCCAUCAAUUUUCCUCCCACCCAAGAGGUCAGAUGAGUAAAAAAGGGAAAAGAAAAAAAUGUGGGAAGAAAGAAGCGAGAAAAGGAGGCAAAAUAAUUAAUAGAUGGGAUUCCUUUUUGUAUUAUUCUUGAAAUGACUGGAAUAAAAGAUGAUUCUCCAGAUUAUAUUCCAAAUACGCAGAAAAAUGCUAGCAAAUGUCAGAACUUGACAUCUUCAAACAAGAAUAGUUGUACACGUACCGACUACCUCCCUCCUGAGUCCCACUCUCAUGUCUAUGCUCCAGGGCACAACGUGGGCUCAUGCAUCAGGCCAAC
RNAcentral lists this long non-coding RNA (1023 nucleotides) under Chinchilla lanigera (long-tailed chinchilla). Its description in RNAcentral is "lncRNA (ENSCLAG00000026569.1)". The record is from RNAcentral. Lineage: Eukaryota; Metazoa; Chordata; Mammalia; Rodentia; Chinchillidae.